AGAGUUUGAUCCUGGCUCAGGACGAACGCUGGCGGCGUGCUUAACACAUGCAAGUCGAGCGGUAAGGCCCUUCGGGGUACACGAGCGGCGAACGGGUGAGUAACACGUGAGUAACCUGCCUCUAGCUUUGGGAUAAGCCUGGGAAACUGGGUCUAAUACCGGAUACGACCCGCAUCUGCAUGGGUGGGGGUGGAAAGUUC
Molecule: ribosomal RNA, 200 nt
Filed under: uncultured bacterium
Lineage: Bacteria
Description: partial 16S ribosomal RNA
Rfam family: Bacterial small subunit ribosomal RNA
Source: RNAcentral